GCCCAAGUGGCGGAACGGUAGACGCAGCGGAUUCAAAAUCCGCCGCCUUUACGGGUGUGUGGGUUCGAAUCCCACCUUGGGCA
Non-coding RNA from Roseovarius sp. TM1035, 83 nucleotides. The record is from Rfam. Lineage: Bacteria; Pseudomonadati; Pseudomonadota; Alphaproteobacteria; Rhodobacterales; Roseobacteraceae.